Molecule: long non-coding RNA, 1955 nt
Organism: Cryptotermes secundus
Lineage: Eukaryota; Metazoa; Arthropoda; Insecta; Blattodea; Kalotermitidae
Exons: 2
Source: RefSeq, a predicted model, not a curated record
UAGCUGCUAAUGUUGGCACUAACUUCGCUGACAUGUGACAGUCGCUCAUGCGGACUAAAACCAUGGAGUUUGUUUGAUCAUCUUCCUACAUGAGCUGUUCAUAUGAGGAAACAUACAGUGUGCAAUAUCUAUACUGCUGGAUCUGUUACUUGGUGAUGAUGCUUUGCGGCAGGUGGUGGCAGCAUGAUUCUUGUAUUUGUGAUCAUGCAUUGUCCAAUAUGAAUGAAGCAACUAAAAGGGGGAAGUUUUCAAAGCUCCUUUGGUACUGUAUAUGUCUCUGAUUUUGAUGUGGGGCCUGUAGGCUGUGGAUGGUUGAGGCAAUCUCUCAGUUCCUUAAUCAUCCAGAUGAGGGUGUUUUGCUGUUAUGUGGCAUUGUUGUCCAAAAACGGGACCAACAUUAACACUGAACUGCUGUGAAAGCCCGAAAUAACCCUUUAUGUUAAAAAUAAUUUUCUUUUUAACUAUGCAUGUUCAAAGCUGUUCAUUCCUUCAAGCACGAGAUGAAGGGGUGGCUGACAGGUUGCCCAGUAUGGUGUCAUAACCAAUGUUUUUUGAAAGUCUGACCUGGUUUCAUUUGAAUUAAUUUUUUAUUGCCUAAGAUUACAAUUUAUAUGUGGCAAAUUAGAUGUAUUGUAGUUUAGUGUUUGGAUUCCAUUAGUAUGCUGUGUAUGUCUGUUGAUCCAUCCUGUUUAUAAUUCAAGAAUUUAUAUUAUAGGUAUUAAUUGUCUGAUUUUUGUAAAACUUUGUAUUAACAGGAUGUUAUUGUAUGAAACCUAUCUUGGUUCUUUUCCAUCUCCCUGUCAUCAUCAGUACCUGCAUGGUAGCCUUUAAACUUCUGAGUGCAUAUAACAGUAGCAUCUUUCAGAGAAGGUUCUUGCCUAAAAUUAUAUUGAUUAGCUUUGGAUAUAUUGUAGAAUGCUUGAAUCUAAUAGCUUCUGACUUCAUUGCUGUAUUGCAAAGGUUAAAGAAAACUGGUGUUCUUUGAUGGUUUGCUCAAUGCUGAAAGAACAUGACGAUGUGAAAUAGGUUGUGUGUUAAGCCCACAGUUCUUCAGUAUUUAUCUGCAGUACCAUAAUUGUGCUUCACACUAAAUAAAAUUGUGAUGAACUGAAACUCUUUGAAUCUGCCUUUAUGCCUUAAUGUGCAUAGUCUUUCAACAUUUUCUUCAUGGGCUUGUAUGUUGUGAAACAUUAUCAAAACACAAUUCCUCAUACUUCAGAUGGCUGAAAUAACUUCUGCAUUUACAGUAUUUUCAUUUGCUAUCUUCACACAGUAAUAAAUGGGGGUUGCUCUGACAUGAAAACAACAUUGAAGGAGAGCUGUCAUUAAAAGUAUGCAUGCCAACAGCACAAAUAAAAAUCUCUGUAUGGAAUUUUAUAGCUAAAUGAUUUAGUUUUGUCUCCAAUAACAACUUUUUCCUAAUCUGAAAACAGAAUUUAUUUAGGACUAAUCUUGUUAUAUUCUUCUUUCUCACCAAGUAUGCAGGUCCUUUGUUAUAUUUAUAAGAAUAUCACUUUAUAUUUAUUUUAGUACAUUUAUGAUUGUAACAUUUUCAGUGCCUUAUGGAACUUUGUUAAUUUUAUUCAAGUGGUUUGUGAAAGGUAUUAGUUUACAUUCUUAACCCCAGCAAGCUUGAAUUUGUAGUGUGCAAUUUUGAAGGUGUUUGGCAGCAGAAAGCACUCAAGUGCCUAUAGUAAUUUUUGUGUAAAUCUGAUCUGCCAUAUCAGUAAGUGCUGAAUUAGUUUAUGUGGUGCUGUUAUUUUAUACUCAGUCCACUAUUGUUUUAAUGUUAGUGUCUGGGUUGUGGGACGGCAUUUUAUGUAUGGAACUGAAUGGGAAUAGCAUUGUGAAUUGAAGCAGCAAUUCUGUCUUAUGCAUAAAUGAGCUUGAGAGUGAUGACUUCCUGUAAAGAAAUGUACAAUAUCAUAUGCAAAAUAUAUUUUUUACUCGAGUCA